AAGACUAUACUUUCAGGGAUCAUUUCUACAGUAUGUUACAAGAAAAUGAAUUGAUGGUGUAUUGCACCAAAGUAAAAGACUCUGGGGUAGGUGGGGGGAGAGU
Molecule: small nucleolar RNA, 103 nt
Filed under: Erinaceus europaeus (western European hedgehog)
Lineage: Eukaryota; Metazoa; Chordata; Mammalia; Eulipotyphla; Erinaceidae
Description: Small nucleolar RNA U3
Rfam family: Small nucleolar RNA U3
About the family: Small nucleolar RNAs (snoRNAs) are involved in the processing and modification of rRNA in the nucleolus. There are two main classes of snoRNAs: the box C/D class, and the box H/ACA class. U3 snoRNA is a member of the box C/D class.
Source: Rfam by way of RNAcentral